GACGAACGCUGGCGGCGUGCUUAACACAUGCAAGUCGAACGGAAAGUCCUUGCUUUUGUGGGGUGCGCGAGUGGCGAACGGGUGAGUAACACGUGGGUAACCUGCCCUUGACUGUGGGAGAACUUCAGGAAACUGGGGCUAAUAGCGCAUAGGAGCUCCUGCUGCAUGGGGGGGGCUGGAGAGUGUCGGCGGUUGGGGAGGGACUCGCGGCUUAUCAGCUGGUUGGUGGGGUAGUGGCUGACCAGGGAGUUGACGGGUAGCCGGCCGGAGAGGGUGACCGGCAACAUUGGGACUGAGAUGCGGCCCAGACGCCUACGGGAGGCAGCAGUGGGGAAUAUUGCACAAUGGGGGGAAGCCGGAUGCAGCAACGACGCGGGCGGGAUGACGGCCUUCGGGGUGUAAACAGCUUUCGCCUGUGACGAAGAGGGAGUGACGGUAAUGGGUAAAGAAGCACCGGCUAACUACGUG
This 468-nucleotide ribosomal RNA is filed under the name uncultured bacterium. Its description in RNAcentral is "partial 16S ribosomal RNA". It matches the Rfam family "Bacterial small subunit ribosomal RNA", at positions 28 to 507 of the family's 1533-position model. The record is from RNAcentral.